AAGCAAGUGCUAACACAGAUGGAAUUGUGUAAUAAUUAAAAGAUUACAAAUUAUUGCGAUAUCGUCCUGUCAAGAAUGUAAAUGAACGAGAAAUUAUUAUCCAUGCUAUUUUCUGUGUUAUGGAAUGGCUUAUGGCAAUUAGUUACAUUGACAACGAUACCUAUCGUAAGAAAUUAACAGGCCACUUAUAUGGUUAAUUAGUGAAAGAAGUAGGCACGAAUGAUUACCAAUUUCAGUAUUACGGUGUAUUAAUAUUACAACACAAUUAUGAAAUCUUAAUCGAGCCAUCGGGCAGUGAAGUCAAUGCCAAAAAUAGAGAGCACCGCUUACCCUGGCAUAUUUGUCCAGAGAAGAAUUAUUGGUAAAUUGGGGUGGGACAGGUCAAUUGGUCACUGGCGUGUUUGAUGUCUUACCAGUCUACCGACUCCGUUACAGUUUCUGCAAUUAGAAUAACCGACAAUGUCUAUAGCAAGAAUAAGUUCAGCUACGUCCCACCCCUUUUCGGAACUUCUUAGCCGAUCAGGUUGUCAUCUGUGAUGACCUGUAAAUAAGAAAUCACGUCAAACGCCCAUGACAUUUAUCAACUCCGAUUUUCACACCGUUCCGAAGUAAGAUUUCGAUGUCACGAAGGAAGGCGACAGAAAACGAGGAGAGCCAACGUUUCGCACGCCAUUUUGUUCCCUAUUUCAACGAAGUUCCAGAUUCGUUUCAUUUACCAGAGAUGAUUUACAAGCUUUCAAAAUAUCGCAAGUAAACUCGUUAGUAAUGGAACGUCUUAAUUUUAAUUUGUUUGUGUAUUUUUUAAAUUUUAAAUACGAUGUAUUCCUUAAUAAAUUAUUCGUUUCUUCUAAUCGUUGAGGUUAAAAGAAAAGGGAAUUAUAAUGGAA
Long non-coding RNA from Orussus abietinus, 887 nucleotides. RefSeq lists it as uncharacterized. The record is from RefSeq and is a predicted model, not a curated record. Lineage: Eukaryota; Metazoa; Arthropoda; Insecta; Hymenoptera; Orussidae. The transcript has 3 exons.